UUUUUGUUAAAUGUGUUUUGGCAUCUUCAGAGGUUCCCACGCUGUCUGGCUGGAACCUCUCCACGGCAUGGGGCCUCUCUCCCCACCAGCAGGCACGUGGUAGAGGAUCCGGGACUCCCGAGAACCUUUGCAAACACAUGCUCUUCGUCACUGCUCCUCGUCGCCACGAUAACCGCUCUGCUCUUCAUGGCUGUUCGUCUGCACUGUUUCGGCCAUGCCCAGGGCAUGGGGAAGUUCCCAGGCUGGGGCCGGAACCCGCCCCACAGCAGUGACAAUGCCGGAUUCUUAACCCAGUUGGGCCACGAGGCAGCUUCGACACAGAUUUUACCUAAUCCUUAAACUCUCUGUGUUCAACCACUUCCCUUUACGACUCACUCCAUCAUCUCUUCCUCCAGGCUGCUUCCCUCUGCAUCAGUUUCUGCUCCUGUUUGUCUUCCUAGACAAGGUCUUCAAAUUUCUUUCUUUCUGAUUCUAACCCUAAGUCAUUUUCACAGGUCUUCUGUCUUUUGCAUUUCAAGGCAUUUCCCUUUGCCCCUCAUUCUGAGGUACCUUUUUGAGACUCUGUGGUGGGGACAGUUUCUGUUGGUUUAUCCUCAAAUCAGAAGAGCUGUAGUCUAGACCCGAGUGUUGCCCAAAGACUGCGUGCCCUUGCCCCCCACCCCCAUUUCCGUCCCCUGCAGGAGCCAGCGCUCUGGCAGCUGACAUGCCAGCCCCGAGCCAAACGCCCCACAUCCAGCAGGCUCGCACCUGGCACAGGGCUGCCAGACGGAGGCAGACUCGCUUCCCAACUGCACAGCAAACAGAACACAAAAGUGGCUGCUCUCAUACAAUAUACAUGCUCUGGAAGAAUCUCACACUCUGAAACGUGCAUCCUAAAACCGCCUGGGCCCAUGAAUAAAAAAGGCUGGAGCAGACUGUUCAAAACUGCAAUUUAAUAACCCGGGUACCAUAAAAAUCAAUAGUCACUCUAAAUUAAAAAUUACCAUAGUUGUAAAAAAAAAAAAAAAAAAAAAGGAGACCAAGUAGAAGUUCCCAUGUGACUUAGCAGGUUAAGGAUCUGGCGUUGCUGCAGCUGUGGCGCAGGCUGCAACCUUGGUACGGGUUUGAUCCUUGGCCCAGGAACUUUUGGCCAUGGUUGCAGCCAAAAAAAAGAAAAGAAAAAAGUAAAAUUCCUAAUAAAUAAAAAGUCCAGCAAACGUAGAACUUUAACUUUACACAAGGUGGCAACCCUUUGAUGAGAAAGGUUCAAAGAAGGAGUGGAAAGCUUUGGAGCUAGAGAAUCAAGAACAAAAUAUACAAAGAUGGAGAAAAACAUGCAAUGAACACUUUCGAGAAGAGUACGUGGCCAAAAGGAGCACGAAGCCGAGCCAAGGUGGGGGGUGACCACGGGUCACCACGCCCAGUCUGGGAGUGUCUGUAGCCUUCAAGACCCGUUCCUUGACGGCAGAAAGCAUCAGUGAACCAGGGACCGUCGCGUCCAACCAGCCCAGCUGCUGGGCUCACUGAUGUCUCUCCCGCACAGGGCACGGGCCGCGGGGCAUGGAAACGUGUGUCCUUCCAGGGCGAAGGGAUAUGAAAGCGCAGGUGCGCUGCCUACUGCGGCCCGAAGAAGGACCACAGACCAGGCGGCUUAAAAGAGCAGCAAGGUGUGUUCACGGAUCUGGAGGCUGGGCCGUCUCAGACAUCUGAGAUACGGGGGUCAUGAGGCCGUCCUCCCUGCCUGGCCUCUCCAGCCUUGCGGGGGGGGGGGGGGGGCAGGUCAGGGGGCCCUGGCGUCCGGGACCCUCCUCAGCUGCAGCUGCAGGACCAAACCCUGACUUGGUCACCACUCGCCUCUGCCUCACGGGCCGCCUCCUCAGAAGGAUGCUCACACUGCCCCAGGGGCUCAACCGGCCUCCGGAUGACUUCAUCUGAACCAACACGUCUGCGACAACCCUGUCUCCAAAGCAGGUCACGGCCCGCAGCACAGGGGUGAGGACGUCAGGGCAGCCCUCCUGGGGAACACGACCCACCCCAACACCCAGGCCUCUUCCUGAUGCUCCCCCAGCAGCCUCGCCAGCCCUGGGAGAGCCCGGACGGUGCCAAGGGGAAACGUGCCCUCAUCAUUUCACAAUCCUCUCCAUCGUACCCGACCGCAUUCCACACAGCCCCACCCCGCCCCCCAACCCGGCAGCUCUCCAGGCCAACCAGGCAGAGAGGCCUGGAGUCUGGGAAGCAGGUCCAUGCAGCACAGGCACGGCUGUCCUGAGUUCUGGCCGGUCCGGAGGGUGACUACAGAGGGAAGGGGGCCCCCUCCCUGUUCUCAGCUGAACCCCCAGCUGACUCAUGUAGCCCAGUUCCUCCGACUUCAGCCAUGCCGAGUCUGUCGACAGACCCUGCACCCUGGGCCUCUGAGAGGAACCAGAGCCCUAACCAGAAAUUUCUGGUUAGCUGCUUACUGGCCUUCCAGCUAACAGCCGAGAGCAAAGCCACAAGAGCCAAGGCCACCUGCGUCCUGGGCUCCAGAUACGAAUCUCAGGCCAUAUUUUAAAAGGAACGUGAUCUUGAGUGAGCUACUGACCUCUCCCUGCCCCAUUUCCUCACCCAUGGGGAUGGGAUGACGAUGGAGAAACAGCAUUUGAACAUCACAGGGGGUGAUAAGGACUUAACGGUUAACCCAGGAUCACAGGGGGUGAUAAGGACUGAACAGGUUAACCCAGGAGGAGCCCCCCUCAGGGCUGGUACAUGGUAAACACACAAGUACUAGCUAUUGAUACUAUCCUCAUUCAUUUUAAGCCAAAAGCUUCUAACAAAGUUUUGACAAUUUCCCUGGGGACAAUGAGAAUUCUACCUCUAGUCAAAACAGAGUAACACAGACCAGAUUUACGCUUGCACGUGAAACAGCUCAGACAGACAAAAUACGUGUGACUAUGGCUUAGAGACACCGGACACCAUGCAGUGACCCUGGAGGAGGAAGGCACAUGAUCAACUGCCCAGUCAUCCCAGCUGACACUUCGGAGUUUCCAGGUGGCAGUGCAGGGAGGGCACAGAAAAUAUCUGACGAAAUAAUGGCUUAAAAUUUCCCAAAUUUGAUGGAAAGUAUAAACCCUCAGAUCCAAGAAGUUCAACAAACUCCAACACAGACAUGUGAUGAUUACGCCAGGGAACAACGUAAUCAAACUGCUUAAAAUCAGUCUCAAGGAAAGUCUUAAAAGCAACUGGGAAGAGGAAGGCACGGCACAGGCAGAAAAACACAAAUAGGAAUGACAGCAGAUUUCUGGGUGGAAAGGAUGAGAGCCAGAAGACAAUGGAGCAGUGCUUUUCAAAGGGAAGCACAGGGACACACACACUGCCAGCCUCGAACGCUGCACCCCGUGAAAGUGUCUUCAAACAAAGGUGAAAGAGAGAUGUCUUCAUAUAUUAAAAAGCUGCAAAUACGCACCAACCAGCAGAUCUGCACUAAAGGAAAUAUCAAAGGCGUCUUCCAGGCAGGAGGAAAAUCAUACAAGAUGGAAACACAGGUCUGCACAGAGGAGUGAAGAGCUUUAGAGAUGGACCCACACAGGCAAACAUAAGAGAUUCUUCGCUGAAUCGCUUUUAAAGAGAACUGUUUAAAUAAAACUAAUAAUGUAUUGAGACGUUGAUAUCACAUGCACUAGGAAAACAUGUCAAAAAUAGCAGAGACUGGGAGGGAGGAGGCGAAGUAAAAGGUCCAUGUUCUUCUAUUGGACAUGAAGUGGCAUAACUUUGACAACGGAGGGUGAUAAGCUGAAGAUGCAGAUGAUAAAUCCCAAAGCCCCCCCCCCAAAAAAAACAGGAACAAUUAUAAUUAACACUUUAUAAGGAAAACAGAUUCCAAUCAUAAAAAUGCGCAAUCCAAAAGAAGGCACAAAAAGGAAAAAAAGAACAAAAAAAGUGACGAAUGGAAAACAAAAAGCAAGGUGGCAGCUUCAAAUGGAAUCACAUCAAGGACCACAACGAAUGGUCUGAACACCCCGGUUCAAGGGCCUAGGUUGUCGGAAUGGACAAAAACGCAGGUCCCUGCCUCCAGAGUAAAAAGAGCCCUUGUGUGCGGUAGGACUGAAAUGAUUUACAGCAAAAAGGACGUCACUCUUUGUAAAACCCAUCUCCCCCGAGCAUCAUGGACCCAACCCCAUGCUGCCUACAAGGGAUGUGUUUUCAUCAUAGAGACCCAAGCAGGUUGAAAGUAAAAUACGGGGGAAGAUACAUCAUGCAAAUACUCAUCACGCUACCAUCCGACAGAGUGAACAUUAAAGAAAGAACAUCACCAGGGAGAAAGAGGCCAUUUCCUGGCGGUCCAGGGAUCAACCCAUCAAAAGGACUUAACAUGCCUAAACAUGCAGGCACCUGAGAGCAGAGCUUCAUACAUACAGCAAAAAAUAAUAACAGUUUAAGGAGAAAUGGACAAAUGUACAGUUGGAAAUUUCAACACCCUGCUCUUAGGAAGAGAUAGAGACCAAGGCAGAAAAUCAGUAAGAGCAGAGAAGCUGUGACACUCUCACCCAACCUGACCAAAACGAAUACUCUGCAAAGAGCAGAACACCUACUCUUCCCACAUCCUUUUUAAAUGCACACCGAGCAUUUACCAAGAAAGACCAUCCUUUGGGCCAACCGACAAGUCUCAGUGGUGUAAAAGGACUCAAGACAAGAUAGACAGAGUCUGUUCCGACUAAACUGAAAUGAGAAAGCAGGUAACAGAAAGAUAUCUGGAAAGUCCAAUAUUUGGAAAAGAAACAACACAGCGCAUGGGUCAGAAAAGCAAUUAAACGGACACUGCAAAGUGUGUUGAAAUGAAUGAAAGUGAGACACAACAUAUCAAAAGCAUCAAAUGCCUGUACUGGACAAGAAGGUCAAAGUCAAUGGCCUUCAGCGUCACCUAAGAAAAUAGAAAAAGAAUAAAUGGGAUCCAAAAUUAGCAGGAAAAAAAGGCACUAAUGAAAGCAGAAAUACAUG
This 4953-nucleotide long non-coding RNA is filed under the name Sus scrofa (pig). RNAcentral describes it as "lncRNA (ENSSSCG00000055554.1)". The record is from RNAcentral. Lineage: Eukaryota; Metazoa; Chordata; Mammalia; Artiodactyla; Suidae.